This 61-nucleotide small nuclear RNA is filed under the name Carlito syrichta (Philippine tarsier). Its description in RNAcentral is "U7 small nuclear RNA (ENSTSYG00000030347.1)". It matches the Rfam family "U7 small nuclear RNA". From Rfam's summary of the family: Animal histone pre-mRNAs are spliced by a different mechanism than nuclear pre-mRNAs and self-splicing introns. This processing involves the U7 snRNP, which contains only one RNA species: U7. The record is from Rfam by way of RNAcentral. Lineage: Eukaryota; Metazoa; Chordata; Mammalia; Primates; Tarsiidae.
UAAUGUUACAGCACUUUUAGAAUUUGUCUAGUAGGUUUUCCAGUUUGUACCAAAAACUCCA